CUAAGCAUAUCAAUAAGCGGAGGAAAAGAAACCAACAGGGAUUGCCUCAGUAACGGCGAGUGAAGCGGCAACAGCUCAAAUUUGAAAUCUGGCCUCCGGGUCCAAUUGGUAUUUGGGAAAGAAGGUUUUGGGGGGGGCCUCUCCCAAUUUCCUGGAAACGGGACCCCUUAAAGGGGGAAAGCCCCUACCGGUGGGUGCCCUACCCCUGGUAAUCUUCCUUCAACAAUUCAAGAAUUUGGGAAAUGCUGUUCAAAAUGGGAGGUAAAAUUUCUUCUAAAGCUAAAUACCGGCCAGAGACCGAUAGCGCACAAGUAGAGUGAUCGAAAGAUGAAAAGCACUUUGAAAAGAGGGUUAAACAGCACGUGAAAUUGUUGAAAGGGAAGCGCCUGUGACCAGACUUUUUCUAGGCGGAUCAUCCGGUGUUCUUCCCCGUGCCCUUCGCCUAGUUGAGGCCCAGCAUCGGUUUUCGUAGGGAGAUAAAAGGUUCAGGAAUGUGGCUCCCCCGGGAGUGUGUAUAUACCUGGUGUAUAAUAUCCUUAUGGGGACCGAGGUACGCGCUCUUCUGCAAGGAUGCUGGCAUAAUGGUCAUCAACGACCCGUCUUGAAACACGGACCAAGGAGUCGAACAUUUAUGCGACGGGUGUUUGGGUGUUAAACCCUCACGCGUAAUGAAAGUGAACGGAGGUGAGAGCCUUUUGGUGCAUCAUCGACCGAUCCUGAUGUCUUCGGAUGGAUUUGAGUAGGAGCAUAACUGUUCGGACCCGAAAGAUGGUGAACUAUGCGUGGAUAGGGUGAAGCCAGAGGAAACUCUGGUGGAGGCUCGCAGCGGUUCUGACGUGCAAAUCGAUCGUCAAAUCUGCGCAUGGGGGCGAAAGACUAAUCGAACCAUCUAGUAGCUGGUUACCG
Molecule: ribosomal RNA, 906 nt
Filed under: Subulispora biappendiculata
Lineage: Eukaryota; Fungi; Ascomycota
Description: LSU rRNA
Rfam family: Eukaryotic large subunit ribosomal RNA
Source: RNAcentral